Molecule: ribosomal RNA, 440 nt
Filed under: uncultured bacterium
Lineage: Bacteria
Description: partial 16S ribosomal RNA
Rfam family: Bacterial small subunit ribosomal RNA
Source: RNAcentral
CCUACGGGUGGCAGCAGUGGGGAAUAUUGCACAAUGCGGGAAACCCUGAUGCAGCGACGCCGCGUGAGUGAAGAAGUAUCCCGGUAUGUAAAGCUCUAUCAGCAGGGAAGAAAAUGAUGGAACCUGACUAAGAAGCUCCGGCUAACUACGUGCCAGCAGCAGCGGUAAUACGAAGGGGGCAAGCGUUAUCCGGAUUUACUGGGUGUAAAGGGAGCGUAGACGGCGCUGCAAGUCCGGAGUGAAAGCCCAUGGCUUAACCAUAGUACUGCUCUGGAAACUGUGGGGCUUGAGUGCGGGAGGGGCAGGCGGAAUGCGUAGUGUAGCGGUGAAAUGCGUAGAUAUUAGGAGGAACACCGGCGGCGAAGGCAGCCUGCUGGACCGUAACUGACGUUGAGGCUCGAAAGCGUGGGGAGCAAACAGGAUUAGAUACCCGAGUAGUC